CCUACGUGAGGCAGCAGUGAGGAAUAUUGGUCAAUGGACGAGAGUCUGAACCAGCCAAGUAGCGUGAAGGAUGACUGCCCUAUGGGUUGUAAACUUCUUUUAUAUGGGAAUAAACUGUUCCACGUGUGGGUUUUUGUAUGUACUUUAUGAAUAAGGAUCGGCUAACUCCGUGCCAGCAGCCGCGGUAAUACGGAGGAUCCGAGCGUUAUCCGGAUUUAUUGGGUUUAAAGGGAGCGUAGAUGGAUUGUUAAGUCAGUUGUGAAAGUUUGCGGCUCAACCGUAAAAUUGCAGUUGAUACUGGCAGUAUUGAGGACAGUUGAGGUAGGCGGAAUUCGUGGUGUAGCGGUGAAA
RNAcentral lists this ribosomal RNA (351 nucleotides) under uncultured bacterium. RNAcentral describes it as "partial 16S ribosomal RNA". It matches the Rfam family "Bacterial small subunit ribosomal RNA", at positions 338 to 686 of the family's 1533-position model. The record is from RNAcentral.